Molecule: ribosomal RNA, 253 nt
Filed under: uncultured bacterium
Lineage: Bacteria
Description: partial 16S ribosomal RNA
Rfam family: Bacterial small subunit ribosomal RNA
Source: RNAcentral
UACGAGGGGGGCAAGCGUUGUUCGGAAUUAUUGGGCGUAAAGGGGGCGUAGGCGGUUUGGUAAGUCUUAUGUGAAAUCUACAGGCUCAACUUGUAGUCUGCAUGAGAAACUGCCGGGCUUGAGUAUGGGAGAGGUGAGUGGAAUUCCUGGUGUAGCGGUGAAAUGCGUAGAUAUCAGGAGGAACACCUGUGGCGAAGGCGGGUCUCUGGGCCGAUAUUGACGCUGAGGAGCGAAAGCGUGGGGAGCGAACAGG